RNAcentral lists this ribosomal RNA (48 nucleotides) under Vigna unguiculata (cowpea). RNAcentral's name for it is "partial small subunit ribosomal RNA". It matches the Rfam family "Eukaryotic small subunit ribosomal RNA", at positions 1784 to 1831 of the family's 1831-position model. Lineage: Eukaryota; Viridiplantae; Streptophyta; Magnoliopsida; Fabales; Fabaceae. The record is from RNAcentral.
UAAAGUCGUAACAAGGUUUCCGUAGGUGAACCUGCGGAAGGAUCAUUG